CCGGAGAACAAGCCUGAGAAACGGCUAGUAGGACUAAGGUCUGCAGCAGGCGCGAAACUUACACAAUGCUAGAUUAAAAUUAGCGAUGUAGUGAAGAAAAAUAACGAUGUACUUCCAUUUAAACAUGGUAGUACAAUUGGAAUGAGACGACUAUAAAUGAGUUAGUCGAGUAACAAAUGGAGGGCAAGUCUGGUGCCAGCAGCCGCGGUAAUUCCAGCUCCAUUAGCAUACAUUAAAGUUGUUGCGGUUAAAAAGCUCGUAGUUGAAUUUUAGGCGGGCUCUAUUGGGGUGCAAUCGUUAAGGUUCUUGGAUGUUGCUUCGCGCAUAUGCAUGUAACUGGUUGUCACCUUCCUAUAGGAACCCGCUGUUUCGUCACUUAAUCGAGUGCGAAGCGGGCUGGAACAAGCAGYGACUUCGGUCAACUGUUGUUACAGCAUGUUUACCUUGAGAAAAUUAGAGUGCUCACAGCAGGCAGUUGGGGUGUAAAAGCCUCUUUAUGCUUGAAUAAUGUUGCAUGGAAUAAUAGAAUACGGCCUCGGUUCUAUUCUGUUGGUCUUAUAGAACAACAAACAAGUUGGUUAAAGCGAUGAAAAGUCUAUACGAGUACGUGGCACCGCUGGGCUUAUGGCGUAAACUUGUUGCCUGGGGAUAAAACCUCAGUGCCAUUUUGCGUGUAUGUAGCGUAAGCGUGUCAUUAAAGCGUCUUGUAUUUCAAGGCUAGCUUUCUAAUCAACUGAGGCAAUGGUUAAAAGAAAUAGUCGCGGCGGCAUCAGUACUGCAUCGUGAGAGGUG
This 792-nucleotide ribosomal RNA is filed under the name Diptacus sp. 1A. RNAcentral describes it as "partial small subunit ribosomal RNA". The record is from RNAcentral. Lineage: Eukaryota; Metazoa; Arthropoda; Arachnida; Trombidiformes; Diptilomiopidae.